Long non-coding RNA from Canis lupus familiaris (dog), 1313 nucleotides. RefSeq lists it as uncharacterized. Lineage: Eukaryota; Metazoa; Chordata; Mammalia; Carnivora; Canidae. The transcript is spliced from 3 exons. The record is from RefSeq and is a predicted model, not a curated record.
GCUGAAGGCAGGCACUAAACCCACUGAGCCACCCAGGGAUCCCAAGAAACAGUUUUCAAAUCCAAAAGAUUCUGACUUCAUCAUUCACAGCAAGGGCGGCUCCUUCGGCAGACGUGCCCUGCUGAGCUGCUCCUACGGGGCCCAUCGCAGGUGUUCCCGUUGUCUCCACCCCAAGGUCGUGCAGCAAACCUGCUCUCCAGCAGUCGGGUCCCACCCGUCCCCCUCACGUGUUCCUGAACUACACGCCGAACACCUGCUGGGGGCGGGCCCUUUUCAGGAGGUGGGGAUUCGGUGGCAAACACGGCCCAUUCUCAGGAAUCUUCAAAACGAGUGGGACCCGGAGGGGACCCUCGUAGCCGAGCCCAAGCCCCAGAGCCACGAACGACAGCAGCCCGCCGCGGUCCCAGCCACGCACGGAGUGGGCAGGCCCGGGAGCAACGCUAAGAGGCCGACAGGACCCGUACACGCGACCACCCGGACGCCAGCUUGAGCUGCUACCAAAUGUCUACGACCCUGGGUGAAGGCACAAGACUUCAGUGGAGGAAGUAACUGCAGAUGUGGUGGAAAUAGUAAGAGAAAUAGAAUGAGAAGUGGAGCCUGACAAUGGACCUAAUAGUUGCCAUAUUGUGAUAAAACUAAGAGAUGGGGAGUUGCUUCUUACAGAUGAGCAAAGAAAGUGGCUUCUUGAGAUGGAAACUACUCCUGGUGAAGCUGCUAUAAAGAUUACUGAAACAAAACAAAACAAAACAAAAAACAAAAGAUUACUGAAACAACAACAAAGGACUUCGAAUACUGAAUAAAUUUAGUUGAUAAAGUAGGGGCAGGGUUUGAGAAGACUGAUUCCAAUUUUUUUUUUUUACAUAUUUUAUUUAUUUAUUCAUGAGAGAGAGAGAGAGCGAGAGGCAGAGACACAGGCAGAGGGAGAAGCAGGCUCCAUGCAGGGAGCCCGACGUGGGACUCGAUCUCCGGUCUCCAGGAUCACACCCUGGGCCUAAGGCAGACGCUCAACCACUGAGCCACCCAGGCGUCCCUGAUUCCAAUUUUUAAUUAAGUUCUACUGUGAGUUAAAAUGCCAACCAGCAUCCAUACUACAGAGAAAUGGUUCACAAAAGGAAGAGUCAAUCAAGGCAACAAACUUCACUGCUGCCUCGUUUUAAGAAACUGUGACAACCACCUCAACCUUCAGCAACCAUCAUCCUGACCAGUUGGCAGCCACCAUCAAGGCCUGACCCUCUGCCAGUGAAAAGAUUAUGACUUUCUGAAAGCUCAGAGGAUGCUUAGCCUUUUUCAGCAAUAAAGUUUUUCUUAAUUAA